AUGCAGCCCCAAUCGGGUGGUAAAUUUCGUCCAAGGCUAAAUAUUUGUGAGAGACCGAUAGUAAACAAGUACCGCGAGGGAAAGAUGAAAAGGACUUUGAAAAGAGAGUCAAAGAGUGCUUGAAAUUGUUGGGAGGGAAGCGAAUGGGGGCAGGCAAUGUGCCUCGGUCACAUGUGGAACGGUCUUAUUUCGGUUUGCUGGUUGACUCGAGGUGCGGGUUGAAGCGGAUUGAGGUGGCUGUUGAAGCUGAAGCUAUGGAUACGGCCUUUUGGAUAUGUGGUCCCCUUGAUCAUUAUGGGAAGUGUGCGUUUUAUGCGAUGUGUUUUUGCAUCGGUGCACUCCGUGAAUCUACUCGUGUGCUCCUCAUUUGACC
Molecule: ribosomal RNA, 373 nt
Filed under: Phoradendron cf. tonduzii
Lineage: Eukaryota; Viridiplantae; Streptophyta; Magnoliopsida; Santalales; Viscaceae
Description: eukaryotic LSU rRNA
Rfam family: Eukaryotic large subunit ribosomal RNA
Source: RNAcentral